RNAcentral lists this ribosomal RNA (209 nucleotides) under uncultured bacterium. Its description in RNAcentral is "partial 16S ribosomal RNA". It matches the Rfam family "Bacterial small subunit ribosomal RNA", at positions 568 to 775 of the family's 1533-position model. The record is from RNAcentral.
CUCGUAGGUUGCCAACUAAGUCAGACGUGAAAUCCCUCGGCUUAACCGGGGAACUGCGUCUGAUACUGGAUGGCUUGAGUUUGGGAGAGGGACGCGGAAUUCCAGGUGUAGCGGUGAAAUGCGUAGAUAUCUGGAGGAACACCGGUGGCGAAGGCGGCGUCCUGGACCAACACUGACACUGAGGAGCGAAAGCCAGGGGGAGCAAAACG